RNA transcript from Varanus komodoensis (Komodo dragon), 541 nucleotides. It is a transcript of the gene named mitochondrial ribosomal protein L54, with no coding region annotated. The record is from RefSeq and is a predicted model, not a curated record. NCBI's taxonomy places the organism in Eukaryota, Metazoa, Chordata, Lepidosauria, Squamata, Varanidae. The transcript is spliced from 4 exons.
CAGGCGGCAUGGCUUGGCGGGCGCUGCGGCUGCUUCCGCGCGGCGUGGCCGCCCUCCCCGGGCCGUCGCCGGCGGGCAGGAGCUACGCCAAGAAGGCCGUGAUGAAGAUGAAAGGAAAAGGGACACCUGCUGAAGCCCCCAAGGGUCCCGAUGUAUGCAAGGACCCCGUGUUGCUUACCACCCACGCCAUGGGGGUAAACAUCUACAAGGAGGGCCCAGAAGUGGCGCUGAAGCCGGACUCGGAAUACCCUGAAUGUACCUCUGGGGGAUCUCCUCUGGACCUGUGGUUUUAAGCACAGCCAUGUGGUUUCCGCAUCAUGUUUUAAAUGAAUGCAAGGCUACCAUUGUGCAAGACAGCUUCCUGUUUUCUUUCGGAUCUGGCCUGUGGCUGAACCUCCCUGCUGCGAAACUCCCAAUGCCACGGAAGAGGGACAUCCCUUUUGAAAAACCAGGCUUUUCCAGAUGUAUAUUGGUCCCCCCAAGAAGUUGAACGAACUAGAUCCGGAGACCCACAAAUACUGGCGUACGCUGCGGAAGAUUA